This 91-nucleotide transfer RNA is filed under the name Rhizobacter sp. RNAcentral describes it as "tRNA-Ser". It matches the Rfam family "tRNA". From Rfam's summary of the family: Transfer RNA (tRNA) molecules are approximately 80 nucleotides in length. Their secondary structure includes four short double-helical elements and three loops (D, anti-codon, and T loops). The record is from RNAcentral. Lineage: Bacteria; Pseudomonadati; Pseudomonadota; Betaproteobacteria; Burkholderiales; Sphaerotilaceae. RNAcentral also lists the same sequence under 1 other name.
GGAGAGAUGGAUGAGCGGUUUAAGUCACACGCCUGGAAAGCGUGCGGGGGCUAAUAACCCCCCGCGGGUUCGAAUCCCGCUCUCUCCGCCA